Long non-coding RNA from Thalassophryne amazonica, 322 nucleotides. RefSeq lists it as uncharacterized. Lineage: Eukaryota; Metazoa; Chordata; Actinopteri; Batrachoidiformes; Batrachoididae. The transcript has 3 exons. The record is from RefSeq and is a predicted model, not a curated record.
AGAAAAGGAAGAGAAAGAGAUCAGAUGGUGGAAGCUGAAGGAGGACGACUGUUGUGUGACAUUCAGUGAGCAGAUGAGAGAGGCACGAGAUGGAGAGGAAGCAGUUUGGACAACAGGAAAAGUACUGCAGAUGUAGUUAAGGAGACAGCUAGGAAGGUACUGGGUGUGACAUCUGGACAGUGGAAGGAAGACAAGGAGACUUGGUGGUGGAAUGAAGAUGUUCCAGAAAGCAUGAGGAGAAAGAAGUUUGCGAAGAAGCUUUGGGAUAGUCGGAGAGAUGAAGAAAGUAGACAGGAGUACACAGAGAUUUUUCAUUUCAUUU